UACAGAGGGGGCAAGCGUUGUUCGGAAUUACUGGGCGUAAAGGGCGCGUAGGCGGCCUUCUAAGUCGAACGUGAAAUCCCUGGGCUCAACCCAGGAACUGCGUCCGAUACUGGAAGGCUUGAAUCCGGGAGAGGGAUGCGGAAUUCCAGGUGUAGCGGUGAAAUGCGUAGAUAUCGGGAGGAACAUCUGUGGCGAAGGCGACACCCUGGACCAGCACUGACACUGAGGCACGAAAGCGUGGGGAGCAAACAGG
RNAcentral lists this ribosomal RNA (253 nucleotides) under uncultured bacterium. RNAcentral describes it as "partial 16S ribosomal RNA". It matches the Rfam family "Bacterial small subunit ribosomal RNA", at positions 524 to 776 of the family's 1533-position model. The record is from RNAcentral.